AACGCAUAUUGCGCCCAACGCUUCGGCUUAGGGCAUGUCUGUUCGAGCGUCAUUACAACCCUCAAGCUCUGCUUGGUAUUGGGCACCACCCGUCAGGGUGUGCCUUAAACCUAGUGGCGGCGCCAUCUGGCUCUAAGCGUAGUAAUUCUCUCGCUAUAGGGUCCUGUGGAUGCUUGCCAGCAACCCCAAUUUUAUCUAUGGUUGACCUCGGAUCAGGUAGGGAUACCCGCUGAACUUAA
RNAcentral lists this unclassified non-coding RNA (239 nucleotides) under uncultured Helotiales. RNAcentral describes it as "sequence contains ITS2". Lineage: Eukaryota; Fungi; Ascomycota; Leotiomycetes; Helotiales. The record is from RNAcentral.